Molecule: long non-coding RNA, 5244 nt
Filed under: Portunus trituberculatus (swimming crab)
Lineage: Eukaryota; Metazoa; Arthropoda; Malacostraca; Decapoda; Portunidae
Description: uncharacterized LOC123507331
Source: RNAcentral
AGGUGGUAGAUGAGAGAAAAGAGAGAAGAGAAGGAAAAGGGAAAAGACGAAAGGAGAAAGGGAAGAAUGGAAUCAAUGAAAGGAAAGUGAAAGAUAAGGAUUGGGGAGAAAGAUAAAGAGGAGAGCAGGCAGGUGUGAGAAAAGACACAUGAGGAGGAGGAGGAGGAAGAGGAGGAGGAGGAGGAGGAGGAGGAGGAGGAGGAGGAGGAGGAGGAGGAGGAGGAGAAGGAAAGUGUUUACCUGCGAAGAAAACCCAUUGAACCGUGAACACACACACACACACACACACACACACACACACACACACAGAGAGAGAGAGAGAGAGAGAGAGAGAGAGAGAGAGAGAGAGAGAGAGAGAGAGAGAGAGAGAGAGACUUUUAGAUUUUUUAUAGCGAUGUUGACACUGAGACGCUGUGGAGAGAGAGAGAGAGAGAGAGAGAGAGAGAGAGAGAGAGAGAGAGAGAGAGAGAGAGAGAGAGAGAGAGAGAGAGUAAAGACGUAAAGUAACUCUAAAGAUUAGUGUUGAUUUCCAUGUACGCACACGCAAGCACACACACACACACACACACACACACACACACACACACACACACACACACACACACACACACACACACACACACACACACACACACACACACACACACACACACACACACACACACACACACACACACACACACACACACACACACACACACACACACACACACACACACACACACACACACACACACACACACACACACACGAAUCCUCCGACCGGAAACGAAGUGUUGGUCUGGUUCCAGCCACUGAGCUGCCUUCAUAACGAAAGACAAAGCAACACAGACACACACACACACACACACACACACACACACACACACACACACACACACACACACCCUCCAGCCGGGAGUUGGGUGUGGCUCUGAGUCUAGCUGGGCGGCUCCCCCCUUGAUGACGUCACAUAUAUACGUUACGCAAUUCAUUUUGAAAAUGAGGAUUCCCAAAAAGGCAGCUGGAGACAAAUGUUAUAAAAAUUCUGGCUUGUUAUCAAUCAAAACAAAAUAUUAAAAUAUAAAAAUAUUGCCAGGAUGAAGAAUAAUAAAAAUAUUUUUAAAAACAUAUUAAAUAAAGUAUUGGAACAUCGACAUGCUUAUAAACAAUUUUAAAGCCCACCAAUUUCAUUCAGCAAGGUCGAUAACGUUUUUUAAAAAUUAUAACUAUUAUUUUCAUGCAUCAAAACCUGGCAACACGCAGAAUUAAAAAAAUAAUUAUUUUGAAAAUUACGUUGUUUACAAUAUUAACAGGGAUACAUACUAAUUUUAAAGUCCACAUAUUCAACUUUUCAGGAGCCUUGCACACUUUUUUCAUCAUAAGGAUAUUUUUAAAAACACAAAUACUUCGCUAUAACCUAAAAUAAAAAAUCACAGAUACCUGGAGGGAAAAUUUUUACGUAUUUUUGCCCUCUCAUUGAAGUCCUAAACACACUCCAAAUCACCGCGCUUCACUCAACUCAAACAUGGAAGACACGUAAAACACAACGAACUAUCAUUAGAAACCCUUAAAAGGUACUUGUGACUCGAAAUAAAUUAACGGAGAUAAAUAUGUAUACAAUAGUGGAAGUCGAUGAUCUGGGACCGGCAGAGCAUUUUGGCGGAAGCCGCUGAUGACGUCACGGCCCGGCCUCUUCUCUUCACUGGGCUUCCAUAACAUACAAAUCAGGUAAUUGCAGAUAAUUUCAACAACGUACAUGAAAGAUUAGGGCUAUGGCUCCACUUUGUGACCUGGCUGGCCUGUAAUGAGUAAGAGAUGAGACAGAUAAUGGCUGAGAGAGAGGCAGGGGGUCGGUGGAUUGGUUUGUUGACGUAUUGAACACUUGGGUUAUUCGGCUUUUCAAGUAUCGACAUGCGUUAGUACACUGAUAUGUUGUCCUGUUGUGAGGCUCUGAUAUGGCAGCACUGUGGAAUGAUGAGCUAAACCAAUGUAUUACUUACGUUAGCAAAGACUGUUUGGCGGCGGCUGUCCGUGUCACCAGCGGGUCCAGUGACCCACCCACACACCGCUGUCCUCUUUUGUGUCCUCAACAGUAUAUAAAUAGGAAACCUCUGAUUACUGAGAGGCUACCCACUAUUUUCUUCGUUGUUAUUAAUGCGCCUUCGCCUCUCUCACCACCAGCACUGAGUCCUGCCAAGCUGCUCAGUGCACAGUGCUCACAGCCUCACACACAAACUUAUGGCUAGCCGGACAAGAUGACAACCGCGAAUCGCGACCCCUUUGCACGGAAGGCGUUUGGCAUUCGCCACAGUCAACAGGAAUACAAUAAUGUCUUUACAUAUGUAUACAUAUGAUAUAUCAACAAAUAGGUACACUCACAUAUGUAUGUUUGUAAGUAUGUAUGUAUGUACGUCGGCUCCCCACUUAAUGAAGCAGUUUUCUUACCUUUAUUUCAAACAAAAGUGACAUCUGUCAUGGUUUUUUCAUGGCAGUUGUCAUUGGCAACAGCUGUUUUGACGUAGGCCAGCUGGCCUGUCUGGCUGUCAUUUUAUUCCGUACGUGUGUAUGUAUGUAUAUAUCAAAAGGAAACAAACCAGGCAUAUGAUGAACAGUGAAGUAUUAAAGAACGAUGUUUUAUAUAUGUGUAAGUAUGUAUAUAUUUCGAAUGAUGACUUGAAAGAAUCUCGCGCGUGUACACACACACACACACACACACACACACACACACACACACUACAAAAAAAUAGUUUUCGCAAUACAGAUCCAUGAAAUACACAAACAAGGUAAAUAUUAAGUGUGUAGGGUGGGGAGGGGGGAGGAGGAAAAGGGGAGGUAUACGCACGUGUUUAAAGAUCCAACUAUUAACAAGCGCGCGGGUUGUUCGCUAAUCUUCUCUCAAGCUAAAUUUUAUCGUUAUCUAUUUAACGUCUCUCCCACUCCCUCCUACCACCCUCCCUGUGUGUCCCCUAGCCCUCCUUGCUGACCCUGAGUUCUUGUACCUUCAUUAAACAACAAGAAACUACCCAGUACAUACACACCUACUCAGCGGCCGACAGUAUACCACCCCUCUGCCUCACUACUUUCCCUCAUUUCACCAUCUUAUACUCACCAUACACGGCGGGAAUUUCCACAGGAGCACCAUGGAUACACUAUCACUCUUCACACACACGCACAACAUAUUAUCAACACUGAAUUACGUAAAAAAGAAGAUUAUACAAGCAGUGCCCGCCAGCUUGCCCGUGUUCCGUCUGCUCGUCACCUCGUCUGACAUAAGGCGGGGAACUCCCUUGCGUUUGAAAUACCCCUUAAUUUUCUUUCAAUUUCCUGCGUGCAAUUUGCCUUAUUCUCGUUAUAUACACUUUGAAUAUGUCUUUUAUUUCAACUGUUCUCCUCACACACGUUAAAGUAUUAUCUAAGGCGCGGAACUCUCUUGCGUUUGAAACACCGCACUUAAUUUUCUUUCAAUUUUCCGCAUGUAAUUUGCCUUAUUCUCGUUAAAUACACUUUAUAUAUGUUUUUUAUUUCAACUGUUCUCCUCACACACGUUAAAAUAUUAGUAUUUUUUCCAUAUAUUAUCAUGUCUACCUACCCGUAGUGUUAAUUCUAAUGGUAUAUUGCUUUCCCUCACCUCAAUAUUCCCAAUCUGUCCAUUUACUAUUAUUCUUGAAGGUUCUAUGCAUUCAGUUGUUGUAUUAGUUAAUAGAAAUAUAUAAAACGGGCAAGAAAUUAAAGGUUGAUAUCAUUUUUAAGUGGUUCCAUGAGAUGCCAAGACUGUCAUAGUUUAAUUUGGUGGAUAUUUUCAAGCCUGGACCAACAGAGGCAUAAUAUUAGCUAUGGAUAAGGUGCGAGAGUCUUCACGUUCACAGAAAAUAGUGUAAGGAAAUAAGGGAAGCUGUGAGAAGCAACCAGACUUGAAUAUACCAACCCUUGUAUGAAAUAUUGUUCCAAGUAUGUUUAUUGAGUAUUAUGAAGCUUGGGCAGAUAAUAUAUUGGACAGAGAGGUAUGAGAGUUGCAGGAAAGUCACGUAAAUAUAAAAAUAGAUAAUAAUCUUGAGAGGAAUGAGAAGGAAAUUAUAUGUAUGGAUGAGUUACCAUGAAAUAACUUGAGGAAGGGCCAGGUAAAGAAUUCUGGUGCUAAUCUGGAACAUGGUGACUACAGAACCUUGACACCAUGUACAGUCCAUUUUUCCAUAUCUACACUGCAUAGGAAACCAGAGAAGAAUCUGAGAAUAGUUAUAGAGACUCAGCAAAACACACCAUGCAGUUUUUUUCUCCAUCUCCAUCAUAUAAAGUUCCAAUGACAGUGUGAUAUGAGAGAAGUCUUGGGUUAGAAUGAAGGCAAACUGGAUACAAAUUGAGUUAUUAAGCCUGUGUAACUAUAACUUUAGGCUGAUUCUCUUUACAUGUGUCUGUAGUGGAGUGUGGUGAAAGGCAACCAGUGUGUUAAUACAUGUGUGAGAGGAGGGAGAUGAGAAGGAAGGAAGAGAGUAACCAGUGAGAAAUGUGUUAGCCAGUGUCAGUGUCUGAGAGGAGGGAGAUGAGAAAGGAGGCAGAAAGUAACCUGUGUAAGGAAUGAGUUAGCCAGUGUUGAGUGUGUAAGAGGAGAGAGAUGAGAAGGAAGGCGGAAAGUAGACUGUGUACGAGGGAUGAGUUAGCCAGUAUGUUGAGCGUCUCAGAGGAAAAAUAUGGGAAAAGAAGGCAGAGAAAGGCAGAGAGUAACCUGUGUGUGAAGGAUGAGUUAGCCAGUGAAUGUAAGAGGAGAGAUAAGAAGGGAGACAGAGAGUAACCUGUGUGUAAGGGAUGAGUUAGCUAGUGUGAGAGUGUAAGAGAAGAGGGACAAGAAAGUAAGCAAAGAGUAGCCUGUUAUUGAUUGUGUCUGAGAGAGAGAGAGAGAGAGAGAGAGAGAGAGAGAGAGAUAUGGAAAGCAGAGAGUAACCUGUGUGUGAGGGAUGAGUUACCUAGUGUGAGAGUGCAAGAGAAGAGAGACAAGCAAGCAAGCAAAGAGUAGCCUGUUAUUGAUUGUGUCUGAGAGGAGAGAGAGAGAUGAAAAGCCGAGUAACCUGUGUGAGAGUCAAUAAUACGUGUUCAUCCUGCAUACUUGUCAAACCAAAGUAUUUCUAAGCAGCCUCAGCUUUGUAUCACUGGUGGGAAGUCCUAUGUGUAAGUUUUCAUGUGUUGUAGAUGCACAAAGGAAAGUACUUUAUAUUUUGUGUACAGAGUUAAAAUGAAUCUAAGCUAUAUAAUAAACUGAAUAUUGAACAA